AAUAGAUACCCUGGUAGUCCACGCCGUAAAACGAUGAGUGCUAAGUGUUAGAGGGUUUCCGCCCUUUAGUGCUGCAGCUAACGCAUUAAGCACUCCGCCUGGGGAGUACGGUCGCAAGACUGAAACUCAAAGGAAUUGACGGGGGGCCCGCACAAGCGGUGGAGCAUGUGGUUUAAUUCGAAGCAACGCGAAGAACCUUACCAGGUCUUGACAUCCUCUGACAACUCUAGAGAUAGAGCGUUCCCCUUCGGGGGACAGAGUGACAGGUGGUGCAUGGUUGUCGUCAGCUCGUGUCGUGAGAUGUUGGGUUAAGUCCCGCAACGAGCGCAACCCUUGAUCUUAGUUGCCAGCAUUCAGUUGGGCACUCUAAGGUGACUGCCGGUGACAAACCGGAGGAAGGUGGGGAUGACGUCAAAUCAUCAUGCCCCUUAUGACCUGGGCUACACACGUGCUACAAUGGAUGGUACAAAGGGCUGCAAGUACCGCGAGGUCAAGCCAAUCCCAUAAAACCAUUCUCAGUUCGGAUUGGUA
This 531-nucleotide ribosomal RNA is filed under the name uncultured bacterium. Its description in RNAcentral is "bacterial SSU rRNA". It matches the Rfam family "Bacterial small subunit ribosomal RNA", at positions 777 to 1303 of the family's 1533-position model. The record is from RNAcentral.